CAGCAAGUUUGUGAUAUCUGCCAAAUCCUCUUCAAAAUCAAUUCCUGAUGUGGAGUCUGUCUCAUUCAUUAGGGGACCAGCUGAAAUAACUAUUUGUUGGAAAGGACGAUCACUAGCUACUUGUUGUUUGCCUUUCUAGGUUUUACUUUAUCUUCCUCCAUAGAUUUUGAAGAUGAGAUACUUUUAGAGGGUUGAACAGUAAAUGAAGAAGGCUAAGCUUUUGGUUUAGGCUUUUCUUGAAAAGGAUUAUGAAAUGGUGAUUGAGGAUAAGGGUUUGACUGAUAGAAUGGCUUAUAAGUAGAGGGUGGAUAAAAUGAAGAAAAAGAAUUAUAAUCACAAGGGGAAAGAAACGGAUUAUGAUGGUCAUAGUCAAAUGGUGAUGGUUUCCUUUUGGCCAAGUCAGCUUCUAUCUGAGCAAUUUGAACUUUUAACUUUUUGAUUUCUGACUCCUUUUGCUCAAAUUCAUAGCCAAACAUUUUCUACUAAAGUAAGGCUCUGAGGUCUUUAUCAAGUUGAUUGACCCUAGACUAAAGAUCAACAUAAAGUUUAUUGACUUGGGCUUAUAAAUUAUCAAUCUUUGUUUCAGUCAAUUGGGCUUUUUCGACUAUCAGGUCCAUUUUUGAGUCAAUUUUUUUCAGGAAAGCAUUUUGAGCCUUGGCAUUUAAAGUCUGCCAGUUGAGGACCUCUUCAGUAUGAGUUAAUGGCUAGGUUGUCCGUCUGAGCUAACAGCAAAUGUUUGAAUAAAUGGCCUAGAUGUAAGCUAU
Molecule: unclassified non-coding RNA, 764 nt
Filed under: Hevea brasiliensis (rubber tree)
Lineage: Eukaryota; Viridiplantae; Streptophyta; Magnoliopsida; Malpighiales; Euphorbiaceae
Source: RNAcentral